UUUACUUAUAUGCAACGCUCACGACCUUUACAUGGUCUUGACAUGGUGGGAACUUUCCAGAGACGAUAGAUGCCUUCGGGAGCUUACAUACAGGUGCUGCAAAACAGUCGUCAGCUCGUGUCGUGAGAUGUUGGGUUAAGUCCCGCAACGAGCGCAACCCUUUUCCUUAUUUGCCAGCACUUUGGGUGGGAACUUUAAGGAUACUGCCAGUGACAAACUGGAGGAAGGCGGGGACGACGUCAAGUCAUCAUGGCCCUUACGACCAGGGCUACACACGUGCUACAAUGGUCGGUACAAAGGGUUGCUACCUAGCGAUAGGAUGCUAAUCUCAAAAAGCCGAUCGUAGUCCGGAUUGGAGUCUGCAACUCGACUCCAUGAAGUCGGAAUCGCUAGUAAUCGCGGAUCAGAAUGCCGCGGUGAAUACGUUCCCGGGCCUUGUACACACCGCCCGUCACACCAUGGGAGUUUGUUGCACCAGAAGUGGAUAGUCUAACUGCAAAGAGGACGUUCCACCCACGGGGCUGA
RNAcentral lists this ribosomal RNA (525 nucleotides) under Acinetobacter ursingii. RNAcentral describes it as "bacterial SSU rRNA". It matches the Rfam family "Bacterial small subunit ribosomal RNA", at positions 945 to 1468 of the family's 1533-position model. The record is from RNAcentral. Lineage: Bacteria; Pseudomonadati; Pseudomonadota; Gammaproteobacteria; Moraxellales; Moraxellaceae.